GACCAUUAUUAGUAUUAGCUCUCAAUAUUAGCUAUUAUUACUGCAGUUGCUAUUAGUUACCAUUCAUGGCCUGGGGGUAAGAUGAGCAGAUGCCUAAGUAGCUUGUGCCUCUUGGAGAAGUCCCUGAGGGAUGGGGGUGGGGUCCCCACAUCCAGGGCAGUACAGCCACUGGAGGCCUGUGGCCCAUUAUGUAGCCUGGCACUCUUGACUUUUUGUGAAGAGGAACUAAGGUCAUUGUGAUCUAGGAGUAGUCAAAUGGACACUCAGCUUGUCCGCCCAGCAAAGCACGUGCCUGCCCACCCUCUGAGCCCCCAGAGGAAGGUGGUUAGCCCUGGCCUCCAAGGUUCUAGGGCCAGGGAGUUUCUCACCAGAAGCUGCAGUAUGUCAUCAGGAACAUUCCGAGCAUUGUUGCACACACCCCGGGCAGCCGAG
Molecule: non-coding RNA, 432 nt
Organism: Microcebus murinus (gray mouse lemur)
Lineage: Eukaryota; Metazoa; Chordata; Mammalia; Primates; Cheirogaleidae
Source: RefSeq, a predicted model, not a curated record